This 425-nucleotide ribosomal RNA is filed under the name uncultured bacterium. RNAcentral describes it as "bacterial SSU rRNA". It matches the Rfam family "Bacterial small subunit ribosomal RNA", at positions 356 to 773 of the family's 1533-position model. The record is from RNAcentral.
AGGGAAUCUUCGGCAAUGGGCGAAAGCCUGACCGAGCAACGCCGCGUGAAUGAAGAAGGCCUUCGGGUUGUAAAAUUCUGUUAUAAGGGAAGAAAGGUGAUAGGAGGAAAUGACUAUCAAUUGACGGUACCUUAUGAGAAAGCCACGGCUAACUACGUGCCAGCAGCCGCGGUAAUACGUAGGUGGCAAGCGUUAUCCGGAAUUAUUGGGCGUAAAGAGCGCGCAGGUGGUUAAUUAAGUCUGAUGUGAAAGCCCACGGCUUAACCGUGGAGGGUCAUUGGAAGCUGGUUGACUUGAGUGCAGAAGAGGGAAGUGGAAUUCCAUGUGUAGCGGUGAAAUGCGUAGAGAUAUGGAGGAACACCAGUGGCGAAGGCGGCUUCCUGGUCUGCAACUGACACUGAGGCGCGAAAGCGUGGGGAGCAAAC